UCAAAGCCCAGCGUGGAGCAGAGGAGCUGAGCCCCUCACCUCUCACCCAGCGCAGCCUUUCAGCACGUGCCACUCCUUGAGCCUACGUGCGGUCCUGUUGACACCGCAGUGACUCAGCACCUUGCACACCUGAACCUUUCAGUCUCACCAUGCAACUGGAAGCAGACCUCCGCUCAGACUCCUUUUACAACCUCCUCUGUCACGUUUGGGUGGUGCAUCACUGCGCAGGACACGGUGCUGGCAGGGAGCUCAGUGCUUUUCCUUUCCCCACGGAAGCAUAGGAGUUCCUGUGUGGUGCUGGGAAGAAAUGAUGUAUGGAGCAGCCAUCUCAUUUCCAGCCUGCGAUCUCUGGGCUUGGCUUAGAAGUAAUGCCACUUCUGCCUCCGUGGCGCUGGAGAUGCCGGAGUUAUGAUCUUCCCACUCAUGAGUCAACCUGGCUCCCUACGUAAUGCUCCCACUCUGCCUCAGGUUUUAAUGAGUCUUCAGCCUCCCUAUCCUGCUCCAACUCAAAUCCGGACUAUGAGAAGACUGCUGUAGGAGAAACGCUGGAUUUUUCCCUGUUGACAUUCUUUGGGCCAAGGUCUUACCUGGUGCAUGAAGAGGGAGGAAGCAACAGCCUCACCUUCUCACAGGACUCUCUAUCGUGCCAGCAUACUACCUAAAGGAGCUUAACUCAUUUCUGUGAUGGUGGUUUCAUCCUGGCUCGUUCCAGCCCCACUAAUGCCCAUCUGCCAGGAUUAUUGAUUCCUCCCUUCUGUAACUCUGUUGAGCAAGACAGUUCUGUGUCCUUCGUGCUUUCUGUGAAACCAUUUCCAGGAGGCACCUCUCAUCCUUAAAUGCAGGCAGAAGAGGAAUGCAAAAGAGGGAAAUGAGACCUUAACUGGGUGCUGCAUUCCCACAGCGUCCCGGAUCAACC
Long non-coding RNA from Cygnus olor (mute swan), 916 nucleotides. RefSeq lists it as uncharacterized. The transcript has 5 exons. NCBI's taxonomy places the organism in Eukaryota, Metazoa, Chordata, Aves, Anseriformes, Anatidae. The record is from RefSeq and is a predicted model, not a curated record.